RNAcentral lists this ribosomal RNA (116 nucleotides) under Danio rerio (zebrafish). The record is from RNAcentral. Lineage: Eukaryota; Metazoa; Chordata; Actinopteri; Cypriniformes; Danionidae.
UCCACAGCCACAUCACCCUGCACCCCAAGACCGGUUACUCACUGAAGCUGAGCAGGGCUGAGCCUGGUCAAUACCUGGAUAAGAGACCACAUGGGAAAAGUAUGUUGAUGUUGGAA